GGCGAGAUAGCUCAGCUGGCUAGAGCACACGGUUCAUACCCGUGGUGUCGAGGGUUCGAGUCCCCCUCUCGCUACGA
This 77-nucleotide transfer RNA is filed under the name Lachnospiraceae bacterium. Its description in RNAcentral is "tRNA-Met". It matches the Rfam family "tRNA". From Rfam's summary of the family: Transfer RNA (tRNA) molecules are approximately 80 nucleotides in length. The record is from RNAcentral. Lineage: Bacteria; Bacillati; Bacillota; Clostridia; Lachnospirales; Lachnospiraceae.